RNAcentral lists this transfer RNA (73 nucleotides) under Congrogadus subducens (carpet eel blenny). RNAcentral describes it as "tRNA-Thr". It matches the Rfam family "tRNA". Rfam says of the family: Transfer RNA (tRNA) molecules are approximately 80 nucleotides in length. Their secondary structure includes four short double-helical elements and three loops (D, anti-codon, and T loops). The record is from RNAcentral. Lineage: Eukaryota; Metazoa; Chordata; Actinopteri; Pseudochromidae.
GCACUUGUAGCUCAGCGUUCAGAGCGCCGGCCUUGUAAGCCGGACGGCGGGGGUUCAACUCCCCCCUUCUGCU